Molecule: transfer RNA, 76 nt
Filed under: Salmonella enterica
Lineage: Bacteria; Pseudomonadati; Pseudomonadota; Gammaproteobacteria; Enterobacterales; Enterobacteriaceae
Description: tRNA-Asn
Rfam family: tRNA
About the family: Transfer RNA (tRNA) molecules are approximately 80 nucleotides in length. Their secondary structure includes four short double-helical elements and three loops (D, anti-codon, and T loops). Further hydrogen bonds mediate the characteristic L-shaped molecular structure. tRNAs have two regions of fundamental functional importance: the anti-codon, which is responsible for specific mRNA codon recognition, and the 3' end, to which the tRNAs corresponding amino acid is attached (by aminoacyl-tRNA synthetases). tRNAs cope with the degeneracy of the genetic code in two manners: having more than one tRNA (with a specific anti-codon) for a particular amino acid; and 'wobble' base-pairing, i.e. permitting non-standard base-pairing at the 3rd anti-codon position.
Source: RNAcentral
GGACAUAUCGUAUAGUGGUUUAUUACGGAGGGCCGUUAACCCUUUUACCCAGGUUCGAAUCCUGGUGUGUCCGCCA